UACGAAGGGGGCUAGCGUUGCUCGGAAUCACUGGGCGUAAAGCGCACGUAGGCGGCUUUUUAAGUCAGGGGUGAAAUCCUGGAGCUCAACUCCAGAACUGCCUUUGAUACUGAGAAGCUGGAGUCCGGGAGAGGUGAGUGGAACUGCGAGUGUAGAGGUGAAAUUCGUAGAUAUUCGCAAGAACACCAGUGGCGAAGGCGGCUCACUGGCCCGGUACUGACGCUGAGGUGCGAAAGCGUGGGGAGCAAACGGG
Molecule: ribosomal RNA, 253 nt
Filed under: uncultured bacterium
Lineage: Bacteria
Description: partial 16S ribosomal RNA
Rfam family: Bacterial small subunit ribosomal RNA
Source: RNAcentral